ACAACGGAGAGUUUGAUCCUGGCUCAGGACUAACGCUGGCGGCGUGCCUAACACAUGCAAGUCAAGGAGAACGUUCCCUUCGGGGAACUAUUAAACUGGCGGACGGGUGAGUAAUGCAUAGGUAACCUGCCCUGGAGACUGGGAUAACUUCGCGAAAGCGAUGCUAAUACCGGAUAAUGCAGCGGACCCUAAGGGGUACAGUUGUUAAAGCGGGCUUCGGCUCGUACUUCAAGAUGGGCCUAUGUCCGAUUAGCUUGUUGGUGAGGUAAAAGCUUACCAAGGCUAUGAUCGGUAGCUGGUCUGAGAGGAUGAUCAGCCACACUGGGAUUGAGAUACGGCCCAGACUCCUACGGGAGGCAGCAGUGGGGAAU
Molecule: ribosomal RNA, 371 nt
Filed under: Fidelibacterota bacterium
Lineage: Bacteria; Pseudomonadati; Fidelibacterota
Description: bacterial SSU rRNA
Rfam family: Bacterial small subunit ribosomal RNA
Source: RNAcentral